This 725-nucleotide long non-coding RNA is filed under the name Agrilus planipennis (emerald ash borer). Its description in RNAcentral is "uncharacterized LOC112906031". The stretch from base 129 to 324 matches the Rfam family "R2 RNA element". Lineage: Eukaryota; Metazoa; Arthropoda; Insecta; Coleoptera; Buprestidae. The record is from RNAcentral.
AGAUAAUUUUCGCCACUCUACUAGCAUCCCUUUAAGUUGUCCUGCCACAGUUUUUGUCACCAACGAUGACGUUCCUUCUUCAGUUUUGACUUCGAUCCAUCCUUCUGCAUUACGCUUCUGCAAAAAUUACUUACCACAGCAUUUCGUAUGUACCAUGUAAAGAUUUUUAUUAUUAAUUCUUUAUUUUUAGGUGUACCAUUCCUAGCAAAACCUAUUAUAAGGGAGAGGGGUUUUAGUUGGUAGGUCCUCCUGUGAGGGAAUCCAACACUACCCAGUCGUACGGACGGCUGGGUGUCUUUCGAAGAUUUCCCCUCUUCCACGAAAAAAAAAAAAAAAAAAACUAAACAACGAUCUAAUGACUUUUAUUGCUGGUGUUCUCAGAUGGGCGGAAUAGCCAUUUAUUUCCACUACCCACUCGCUGGUAUUAAGUAAUUUGGAAUUGUUUACAACCCCUUUUCUUCAAUAUUGUUUCAGUGUUCGGCAUCAAUUUCUAUCUGAACACGUAAGUUGCUACAACUAUUUUUUACCUUCAUUAUUAAUUAUCUUGUGUUCAAAAUGUUAAUUGUACAUUAUUGAAAGGUUUUAGUUAAAAAUUGUUAAACUGUAUUACUGUUUCUUCUGUUUUGUGGCCUUUUCUAUUUCCUCAAUUGUCUCUUCAAAUUACAUAAAAUAUUUUAUUUUGUACAAGUGUAUUUGUUAACAUUCAAUAAAUUUUUUUUACUAUU